GUGUUCACUUUGGCAACACUUAUAUUAAAAUUGGAACAGUACAGAGGAGAUUAGCGUGGCCCUGCGCACGGAUGACCCGAAAGUUUGUGAAGCAUUCCAUACUUAC
This 106-nucleotide small nuclear RNA is filed under the name Neotoma lepida (desert woodrat). Lineage: Eukaryota; Metazoa; Chordata; Mammalia; Rodentia; Cricetidae. The record is from RNAcentral.